This 3519-nucleotide long non-coding RNA is filed under the name Canis lupus familiaris (dog). RNAcentral describes it as "lncRNA (ENSCAFG00000050569.1)". The record is from RNAcentral. Lineage: Eukaryota; Metazoa; Chordata; Mammalia; Carnivora; Canidae.
UUUUUUUUUUCUUUUUUUAAGAAAGUACAUUUUUAACUACUACACUUUCUCCAUGUAAUGAGAUCACACAAUGAAAUGACUGGUCAUCCUAUAUCCACGACAGAAAAUGCAAGUAGCAGGAACUAGAAAGGGAAAAAAAAUAAGGAAAGAAAGAAAAUGUGGAAAUUUAGCAUUGUGGCAAAAGACUGUACAUAAAACUAUCCUCAGCUCAUCUGUGCUCUUCCACCCAUCAGUCUCUUUAUUUUAAAAGCUCUCUUAGCAACCUCCUCUAACCCAGCCUUCACUUAACCAACCACCCCAAAGAGCCAAUGCUCUUCAGUCCCUCCACAAAGCAUACUGAGUGAUGCUCCCUGAACCCCAGGGAGGCUAUCUCCAGGUUGCCUGUUGCUCCUGUAUUCCCACCAGCUGAGUCGUGUGCCCCUAAAAGCCAACUAUGUUUGAUCCCAGACCUGUUUAUGCCAGUUCUAUUUGUUGUUGUUAAUUGUAUAAUUGAAUUAAAUAUUAUGUAAACCCCAGAAAUUUGAGAGCAAAAAAGCAAGAAUGAUCGUAACUAUGGAAACCAAGUUAAAUGCUUUAGAAAGAUCUGGUAAAGGCAAGUAACUAAAAAUAUUUCUGUCAAGAAUGAGUAAAGAAUUGGAGAAAAUCUUGAAAUUCUAGAAUUCUUCACUCAAACUGCUUCACAAGAGCCUUUGCACACUUUCCCCAGUGAAGAGGAUGAAACUGCAAAGCAUGGAGGAAGCAAAGUGCAGCAAAAGCAAGAAAGUCCCUAAGGAACUCCAAUGAGCAGACACAGACUCAGAGAGAAGAUUGCAGUCUUAUCCACAAAGGCUGUGGGUGUGCACAGAAAUUUAAUCCUCUUUUUUAUGACUCUGUUUUAACUGACUCUUUACAUUUAAAGCCCCAAUAAUAAAACAUUUUUAAAAAACCUUUCUGCUUUUAUUCCAAAAAAUACAAGUCUCAGAAACCAGGAGGAAGACUUAAAAAACAAACUCGUUCAAAAACUUGAAGAUCUUUUUAGAAAAACAUCCAACAUCUUCAAUAAUAUGCAAAAAAGCUGCCUGAACAAGUAAUGCAAUAAAGAGAGAAAGAUUUUUAUCUCAGCAUUUGUAAACAUAUACAGAAAUAGCAGGCCCUGGGCGCCUCCUGCAGCUCAGGGCGUGAUCCUGGGGUCCUGGGAUCGAGCCCCACGGGGAGCCUGCUUCUCCCUCUGCCUAUGUCUCUGCCUCUCUCUCUGUGUAUCUCAUGAGUGAAUAAAUAAAAUCUUUAAAAAAGAAAGAAAGAAAGAAAGAAAGAAAGAAAGAAAGAAAGAAAGAAAGAAAGAAAGAAACCAAAUUGAAAAGAACUUGAAUGAAACACAAAGACAAAAAUAAAAAUUAAGGGAAAGCGUAGUAAACAAGGAACAAGAGAAAGGCAUGAAACUAAAACCACACUGGACAUUUGGUGAAAUGAAAAACAUGAGAAAAUUAACCCGCAGUUAAACUUGGGUUUUGAGAAAUUACCUCCUGACAUGAGAAACUGCUCACAACAUGAUUUUUAGGUAUUUUACUCUAUCCAUAAUUUUAGGAAAAGUAAUAUAUACACAUGGUACAACAUUCAGAGACAGCAAAUGAGUAAAUACUGAAGCACAAGUCUCCCUGACAUCCUUUUCCUUCAGCCACCCAUUCUGUCCCCAGAGGCACCUGCUACCUGCUGUCUCCUCCUAGGGACAGUCCAGGCAUACAAGUGUAGACGUACAUAAAUAAUAAUAUAAUCUUAAACAUAAACCUUAGGAUAGACAGAUACAGAUAUUUCUAACACAUCUAUGCAGAGGUCCUCCAGGAAGUCUCAGUGCAGUGUUACAAAAUUACCUCACAAUUCCACAGGUACCAUUUUUGGGAAAUGAAUUCCAUCCAAAGUCAUAUUUUCACAGCGUAAAAAUAGGAACGGGAGAAAUAAUGGCGCUACUUCUCAAGACCGAGUCCAACCGGAGGUCUCCAGAGACCAUUUACGUUAAAUACCGAGCUGGCCAGAUGACAGGUCUCAUAUGCUAUGGCAAUUCACGUCUUCCGGUCGCCAUGCCCUUUGUAAAAACCGCCAUACCACACACACAAGGUGGCAAUCGGUGUGGGAAUUCGUAAGGACAAAGCAAGCAGGAACACAAGGGAGAGGAGACCUCCAAGGGUCUCAUACCUCAGGCUCUUCUGGUGCAAGGCCAAACUGCAUCACCUCCAGAGGCUUUGGAAUCGGAUUAGUCGCCAUGUUCAGAAGAGACCCUCCUCUUGGACAAAUUCACCUUACGGUAACUCAUAAGCUCUACAUGUGUGCGUGUGUGGGUGCACAUACGUGCAAACACAUACACUUACGGAGCGCCAAAGUGUUCGUGCACAGGGAGAGCCUUAAACAUCAGGCACAGAGGCCAGCGCAUUUUCCUCCUGUGGGCACCACCCAUGAAAAUCAAGUAAGAGAACUAUGGAAAAACUGCCAUUUCUGCCUGUCCAAAUCCAUUCCUCUUGAUUCUGAUUACAGAUUUUUUUUACUUCUGAGAAUUAUUCAUUCCCCCAUCAAAGGAACCUAUGAUUUAGACGGUUGGGUGGGUGCAUGUCCCAGAGCUGAAACUACCCUCGUAGUUGACAGGAUUAUUAAAUUGGUGAGAAUAUGAGCAGGGAGAUGCAGAAAGCACAGCACAUACCCCCCCCCCCCAAGAAGAGAGAGCUAGACUGAAAAUGAAGCCAAACAGGGGAGCAGAACCAAGAGAUGGAGAGAGACAUUGCUUGAUAACACCAUUUAACAUUGAAGUCACCCACGCCUGAGACCAGGAUACACACUGAACUUUUCAUUUUUGACAGACAACAAACUCCUUUCUUAACCUGCUUUGAGGUGAGAUUCUAUCUCUUGCAAACAAAAAGAAGCCCUGAUUAAUACAGAAGUGUUUUCACGGAGAAAAUGGAAGUGUACUAAGGAAAGUUUAUAAUAUGAUUUGAUUGUUUAAUCAGUACCAAAGGAGCUUAAUGCCGCUAUAUCCACACCAGGGCAAACCAGGGCUCAUCCCUGGGAAUCCUUCCGUCUUUCAACAUCUGACCAACCCCACUUGGACUGCCACAGUCUCUCUUAAAUCAUGCUCAUAUGUUCAAUCUGCCUGGCAAGCCUAUAGUCAUUCUUUCUCUGCUCCAUUUAACUCGCUCUCAGAGGGCAAAUCACAUAUCCUAUCCCUUGUUCCCAAGUUCUUAGGGGAUGCAUCACUGAAUCCCAAGUACUGAGAGUAAUCGAAAACCGCUUAAUUAUUAAAUUCUAUGGCACCCACGAGAACUCAUAACAUCCAAAUUAAAUGCUAUGAAUUUCUUCCAGUGAAUUCUAGCAUCAAAAAAUCAUUUACUGUAGUAAAAUAACAUAUUCAACAGUUUCCAACGAUGAGAAUAUAUCAAUGAUAUUUUCAAUUAAGGUGAACACGGAGAUCCGAUACUUUAAGAUGGGUUCUUUAAGUCCAUAUUAUUUUGAUUACAAGGAGUUGUUGAUGUUCACUUCAAUUCAUAGGACAAAAGU